GCAUAUCAAUAAGCGGAGGAAAAGAAACUAACAAGGAUUCCCCCUAGUAACUGCGAGUGAAGCGGGAAAAGCUCAAAUUUAAAAUCUGGCAGUUUCACUGUCCGAGUUGUAAUCUAGAGAAGUGUUAUCCGCGUUGGACCGUGUACAAGUCUCCUGGAAUGGAGCGUCAUAGAGGGUGAGAAUCCCGUCUUUGACACGGACUACCAAGGCUUUGUGAUGCGCUCUCAAAGAGUCGAGUUGUUUGGGAAUGCAGCUCAAAAUGGGUGGUAAAUUCCAUCUAAAGCUAAAUAUUGGCGAGAGACCGAUAGCGAACAAGUACCGUGAGGGAAAGAUGAAAAGAACUUUGGAAAGAGAGUUAAACAGUACGUGAAAUUGCUGAAAGGGAAACGCUUGAAGUCAGUCGCGUUGUCCAGGAAUCAACCUUACUUUUGUUGGGUGUACUUUCUGGUUAACGGGUCAACAUCAAUUUUGACCGUUGGAUAAAGUCAUUGGGAAUGUGGCAUCUUCGGAUGUGUUAUAGCCUUUUGUCGCAUACAACGGUUGGGAUUGAGGAACUCAGCACGCCGCAAGGCCGGGUUUUUAACCACGUUCGUGCUUAGGAUGUUGGCAUAAUGGCUUUAAUCGACCCGUCUUGAAACACGGACCAAGGAGUCUAACAUGCCUGCGAGUAUUUGGGUGGUAAACCCGAGUGCGUAAUGAAAGUGAAAGUUGAGAUCCCUGUCGCGGGGAGCAUCGACGCCCGGACCAGACCUUUUGUGACGGAUCCGCGGUAGAGCAUGUAUGUUGGGACCCGAAAGAUGGUGAACUAUGCCUGAAUAGGGGUGAAGCCAGAGGAAAACUCUGGUGGAGGCUCGUAGCGAUUUCUGACGUGCAAAUCGAUACGUCAAAUUUGGGUAUAGGGGCGAAAGACUAAUCGAACCAUCUAGUAGCUGGGUUCCUGCCGA
This 944-nucleotide ribosomal RNA is filed under the name Phaeomarasmius erinaceus. RNAcentral's name for it is "LSU rRNA". It matches the Rfam family "Eukaryotic large subunit ribosomal RNA", at positions 38 to 964 of the family's 3401-position model. The record is from RNAcentral. Lineage: Eukaryota; Fungi; Basidiomycota; Agaricomycetes; Agaricales; Tubariaceae.